Molecule: ribosomal RNA, 303 nt
Filed under: Triticum aestivum (bread wheat)
Lineage: Eukaryota; Viridiplantae; Streptophyta; Magnoliopsida; Poales; Poaceae
Description: partial small subunit ribosomal RNA
Source: RNAcentral
AUGUCGCUGCCCUAUAUGCCGGCUAGACACGGUGGCUACGACUACAACCUGACGGAUGUGCACGGGAGGUUGGGAGUCAUCUUCCUCAACCCGUCGGGGAAGACGGAAGCAUGGGCUUGGCAUGAGGAGGUGGGGAUGUGGACUCCAGUGGCCAUCCUCACUUGUGCAUGCCAAGAGAUCCCACGGCGAGUACUUCUUGAUGUGCCAGGGGCAGCUGUUGUAUUCGUACCUACGGGAUGGCACAUUGUUGCCGUCCGGCUUGAGGAUGGUGUCCAACUACGUGAAUGUAAUUCGGAGGGAUAA